UGUCUACUCCCACUAGAAGGUAAGUACUGUAAAGCAGAGGUUUUGUUUUCUUCCCUGUUUUCUGCUAACUUAAGCAGCUAGAAACUGGCCCAUCAUAGGCAAUCAGUAAAUGUUUGUUGAAUACAAGAAUGAAUAAAGCUAUCCCUUCCUUUCCCCCACAUAGAAAUUGAGGGGAGAGAGAGUUCAUGGGAAAAAAUUUAAUCAGGUCAUCCCUGUGAGCGCAAGACCUCUUUGCAUUUCUAAGGGACAGUUAUUGAAAGUAUAUGGCUCAUGGCUGGGCCUCUUUCUUAUUUUCUGCAGGCCUGAAGAUACACAAUUUGGAAAUAGAAAAUGAAGGGAGGAAACUAAACAUUGUUCUGCAUAUUAAUGUGACACAGUGAUGCUCUUGAGAGAACAGCACCUUGAAAUUUAUGAGCAGUUAGAAAAUGAUUUUUCUUCAUCUCUCCAGGUUUAGAUGGUGUUGAAGAACUGCAUUCCCUCCCUCAGUCAGCUUGUCCAGCCCCUCUGCGUUAAAUCCCCCUCUAUAUGCUGACAACACCGACACAUCUCUUAGCCUGACAUCUGCGUUUGCAUGUCUGAUCUAAAUUGUCCCCCUCCCAGGGCACCUGGGUGGCUCAGUUGGUUAAGCCUCUGACUUUGGCUUGGGUCAUGAUCACACGGUCUGUAAGUUCGAGCCCCUCGUUGGGCUCUGUGCUGACAGCUCAGAGCCUGGAGCCUGCCUCGCAUUCCGUGUCUCCCUCUCUCUCUGUCCCUCCCCCACUUGCGCUCUGUCUUUGUCUCUGUUUCUCUUUCUCUCUCUCAAAAAUAAAUAAAUGUUAAAAAAAAUUAAAAAAAAAAAAACCUGCCCCCCUCUCUCAGCUCCCAGUCUUUACCACCUCCGUUAAUGGCUCCAUCACAUACAUAGUGGCUUCAGCCCCAAACCACCUGGUCACCCGUGAUUCCUUUUUUCCUCACUCUUGACAUCUCAUUCACUGGGAAGUCCUGUGAGUUUUUCCUCCAAAAGGUAUUAUAUCCCAACACUGUUGACUGUCCAUUUCUACCACAUCAACGCUAGUCCAGGUUCACCAUCACUUCUCUGAACUGUUGGCCAGCAACUCCAAUGGAGUCUUCCUGCUUUCUCCCUUGUCCCCAAGUACCUCUUCUCACAGAUCAAUUGAGGGAAUUCUGUCAAAGAUGUAACUCCGAUUAUGCCACCCUCCUGUUUAAACCCCUUUAAUCUCAUUCAAUUUUACUUCAAAUGGAAUCUAAACUCCUUAACCUGGCCGGGGCUCCACCUGAUCUGGCCCUUGCCUGCUUCUGCAUCACCGUCCCACUUCUCCUUCCCUACAUUGGCCUCAUUUUCCUUCUUUGAAUAUACAGAGCUCAUUCCUGCUUUGGAUCUUUUGCACUUGCUUUUCCCUUUGUCUGGAAAGCUCUGUCCCAGAGCAUUGCUGCACUCUGUUCCUUAGUCAGGUCACCUUCUCAAAGAGCCCUUCCUGACUACCCUGUAUAAUGCCUUUCCACCCCCACCCUAUCUCCUCCUAUAAUCAUCUAGGUUUUAUAAGCAGUAUCAGGAAUGGUUUUGAUUGUGUGUCUUGCAUCAACAAAGUCCCACAAAGAACGUCCCGUUCGCGUGGGGUAGUUGAAGAGAGGUUAAUAAAAGCACCAUUUCCAAAGAUUUAGGGAGGUGAAGGGGAACCAACCAGGGAAGGUAGUACUACUUGCAGCAAUAAUAAUAGAGAGCUGUUAAUACCCCAAGGCCUGAAUGGCGCUGGGCUGGGAGCAGCUACUUGAGCCUGGAGAGAACAGCUGUAAUUUACAGGAGAGGCCAUUUGGCAGGACUGUGGCCCAGCAGACAAGGUGUCAAGGGAAAUAAACACUCAGACCUAACUCUCCUGCUUCCGUCCAGACUUUGCUGGUGCUCCUCAUUGGCCUAACCCAACCAGAAGCUGAAGGGCAAGACUACCAAUUGAUGCAAUCCAUAAAGCAUGGUCAACUAAGAAGUAUCACGUUGAGUUGGAGAAACCCAAGACUGGAGCCUGGAAUGUUCUAUAUCAACUGAGCUCAGACCUGAAAACUAGGUUAGGAUUAAAGUACAGUGUCCAGGGACGAGAAAAGAAAGGAGCCUUUUUCAUGAGACUAUUCAAAAGAAUAGAACUCCUUAAGGAAGCAUUGCAAUCCACAUGCCAUUUUGCUGUGUUGGUGGCAAAUUUGCAUACCUUUAUCUGGAGCUGCCAGACCAUCGGGACAAGACGUUUCAGAUAUGGUACACACUGUUUAAAAAAAUGCCAAGAAUGCAGUUUGACUCCUUGAGAUCCAGACUUCUGCUCCUGAUAAUAAGCAACAGACGCCACUUGCUCAGCACUUUCCCGGGUGCUCUGCCUGGACUCCAGGGAAAAAGCUCGUCAUCGCACAGCACACUGGCCUGCUCUCGUGUGUCUUUCUCUUCCGUCUGGGGUGCACUUUCCCUCUUCUUCAUCUGGCUAACCCUUCAUCCUUCAGAACACUUCUCACUCCUCAUGGUGUCAAGGAAGCUUCUCCUGACACCCCCAGAGUCUGGAUUAAGUCCCGCCCCGUGUGCUUCUGUGGCAGCCCUGCCUGCCUCUACCAUGACACUUACUCCACUGUCUUAAAGCCAGGUGUCCAUUCAUCUCAGUUCCCAGGAAGUCUGUGGUGUCUGGAAGAGAGGAACUACGUCUUUCAUCUUGAUAUUUUGAUGUCUAGUGCCCCGUAAAUAUGCGGUAGAUGUUUGUUGAGUGAAUGAAUGAGAAUUAUUGACUUUUUGGCGUCAGACUAUUCCAGACCCUGGUGAUCUCAAAUCCAUCAUCAUAUUCUGCACAAACUGAUUGAAUAUUGAUCCCUUGCCAUUGCUUCAGGUUGAAAAGAAAAAAAAAAAGACCUUUUGAAAAUAGGAUGUGCAAUUGUAGAAAAACAAAACUGUUCCUACAAGCCACACAUAAAUAUCAGUCUCAUUAUUUUAUGAUUAUCCUUCACAAGUGACUAAGAAAAUUUGAGAUGACUGAGUUGCAGUCAGACUUGAACACAUGCUUCAAGAAUCUUAACUUUGUUUGCUAGUACAAAACAGUUUCAACUGAAAAUGUCAGAAAGACAUCAUCUGGCCAGGAGAAGAUUUGCAAAUAGUGUUUUAUUUCAUUUCUGUCAAAACUUUACCUGGUUUGUUCCUAUAUCCCAAUCUUCAAAUUCUGUCUCUCAGUGAAAUCUAUACCAUUGUCCUUGGACUCUCUCCUUGUGGACAUUAACCUGCCACACACAUAAAACUCUAUGUAAUUUGUUCAAUUCCACAUAAGUUAAUGAAUACUUACUACUCACAUUGUGCCAUUAUUGAGAUAAGGUCACAGAGUCAGGGUAUUUGUAUUCCAUAUUUUUUGUUUCUUAUUCUUUCAUUUCUUCACUCAACAAAUAUUAUAAAGCUUUCACGUAAAGGCACUGCUCUAAAUGCUAUUGGGGGGGGGAAGAUCAAUGCAUUCCUGAUUUCAGAGAAAUUAUAAUUAGUGAGAUAAGAUACGCAGGCAUACCAUAUUUAACACCAACGUGAGCCGAUACUCUGAGAUACGUCCCAUGAUGAAUUCCCUCAUGGUCGGUUCUCCCUGCCUGCAGGGUUUACCCUCACAGCAAGCAGGGUUGUGCUAGAAUGAAAGAGGUUUCAGACAUAGGCUAAUGUUUGAAAACAGGGCAAGUUACUAGACUCAGUUGCUUAACCUGUGUCUACUGUGCAUAGAAUGAUUGAGAAGCGUAAACGUGGAAGUGUGUCAAAGUGGUGACACAGAACACUCAGUUCUUGUGCCUGUUCUUCCCCAAGCCUCGGAGAGGAGGAAAAACAUGCCGCAUCUUCCCCUCUACUCCGCCUCUUUGGGAAGGCCAUGUCCUCGGUGGAGUUAGGGGAUACCGGUGCCACAGGCAGGCAGAGCAACUCUGAUGGUCCCUUCCAAAGUAGGCAGAGAAAGCAGCC
Long non-coding RNA from Acinonyx jubatus (cheetah), 3949 nucleotides. RefSeq lists it as uncharacterized. The transcript is spliced from 6 exons. The record is from RefSeq and is a predicted model, not a curated record. Lineage: Eukaryota; Metazoa; Chordata; Mammalia; Carnivora; Felidae.